Molecule: long non-coding RNA, 2660 nt
Organism: Zea mays
Lineage: Eukaryota; Viridiplantae; Streptophyta; Magnoliopsida; Poales; Poaceae
Exons: 4
Source: RefSeq, a predicted model, not a curated record
AGGAUUUUUUCUUCUGUCUUUAAUUUUUUCGUGAACGCGCAGGAGAGUUGCGCAUCAUUAAAUUAAGAGAAGAAACAGUCCAAAAUGGACCAAAGUACAAUGCCACAAAAGGCCAAACACAAGACCACCAAAUCCUGACCAAACACAAGACCACCAAUUCCUGCUACGCACAGGACUGCAGCUUCCUUCUGCGCAUGGAAACAGCAGCACGCAAAAGGACAGCAGCACAAGUGCUAGCAGGCCACACACCCACACAACUGCUCUUCACUAAGCCCCCAAUAGAACCCUUGAUCUGAAAAUUGCAGCACCAGGACCCAAAGCCUCAAGAUGUCUAGCAUCGGCAAGCCUCCAACACUCAAACUCAUCCAGAAAAACUGAUUUUAUUCCAUGAAUGGAAGGCCUGACGCCAUCAAAAACCGCCUUAUUACGAUGAAGCCAUAAACACCAAGCCCCCAAGAUGAUGAUACUAUUAAAGCCUCUUCUUUUGGAUUUGUGCACUUUCUUACACACCUUCUCCCACCAGUCAGCAAAAGUGGACUCAUUAGAGGCAGGAGAAAAAUUAGCCAGUCCCAGUGAAGAGAGAAUGUAGAACCAAAAUUGCCGCGCAAAAAUGCAAUUGCCUUUUCUAGCAACCUGUUCCUAUGAAUUUCUUUUAUUGACAACAUGAAUUAGUCUAUUUUAGUUCAUCUCUUUCUUGUCACAAAUUUAAAUGAAUAUAAUUGUUUGUUUCAGUGGCAAUUCUGUGAAGCCCAAAGGUUCCAAGUCACCAUGAGAAAAUUGAAAUGGCGAGAUCUCUUAAUCUAAUUGUUGCACCUUGGAAGGUCUGAACCAUCAGAGUUUAAUUGUAUCACCCAUUUACACAAGUUCCUACCAUCAGAGUUCAACUGUAUCACCCAUCCAUAAGCAAUUCCUUGUGUUGAAAUUUAUGAGAAGACAUAUGCCUCUGUUAAGGCAUGGUACCAUCUUCAUCAUGUAGCCUGGGAUGAGCUGGCACCAUGAAAGAAUUCAAGUGGUUAAAUCAUGCAUCUGCAAAAAUAUUGUACUCUCAAAUGGUGGGUUGCUGCGUCACGGGAGUUUGGGUGAAGGCCUGAAAGAUGUGAUUCAAAACGUCGAUGCAAGUUCAUGUCUUCUCCUAACAUUAUUCCUACUAUAUUUGAAUUUGAGGCACAUAUCAUGAAUUACUGCUAGGACAUUCUUAGUGUGUCAAAUAUGUCAUGUAAAGUGAAGUUCAGUGGUAUGAAUAAUGCUUUGUUGUUUACUGAAUGUUCAUUGUUCAGUGAUAGCAGCUUACACACCCCAUGCUUUCUUUCUCUAGGUCUGGGAUGUCCGUCUCAUUAUGGAUCAAAAUUCAUGACGUUCUAAAGGUGUCGGAUGAGUACCUAUAUACUCCCUCCAUCCCAGAAAACAAGGCGCCUCAUUACACUAUUGGAAGUUGGACGACAUGGAUGACUCUGGCAAGAUGCGGUAGGAGCACGACGACAUGGAUGACUCCGACCACGAGUCCGACAGGAAGCCUAGCAACAGUACGCAUUAGCAAGGUUGACCAGAGGGGCAGUGGAGAGUAACCCAACACCCCCUCCUCUGACCGUCAUAGCGCUUCUUUCCUCUGGCUUCAUUUCUUACCUAUGUAUGGAUGGUCUUCACCGCUGGUUACAUCUAGCAAGUCCUCCCAGGGUGACAUGAAGGAGAUUGUCAUGCUGCCAAAGCACAUCAAGGACAAUGCAAACAAGGACAGAGGAAGAUCGAACAUGCCAUUUCCAGGUGGUGACAUUUCUAUUCUCGCGCGCCCACCCAACAUUUUUGCUUUUACUAAAUGACUAUGUGCGUGAAUGCUUCGUGGUUGUUGAUAGGGAUUAUCUGUGCUUGACAAAACGGUAUCCCAGACUUGCAAUUACUCCAGAAUUUUCUAAGGUUGGGCAUUCUGUACAUUGAACUUUUGUUGCUGAUCGAUAUUCAAUGUGGCUUUAGGCAUUCUCUGUCACUCUAGCUAGGUCCUUGGAUGAGCCACACUAUUGACAUGGGUUUAGGAUAUAAUGCACAUGGGUUAGUUCAUCUCUUUUUCUUUUGCACCCAGGUAUGCCAUUUUGGGGAUUUCUCCACUAUGUAUGUUUAAAUGAGCACAUUAAUUAGAAGCCUUUUAUUAUCAUGUUGUUAUGUUAUAUGUUGUUUACUGCUUGCUUGGUGUAAUCUCUAGACCCGUGGAUCCAGUUGCUUUUGCAAGGGAAAGAGAUAUGCCUUCUGAUUCAGAUAGGACCUUAAAUGAAGACAAGUGUUUCAUAUCUUGUAGUAUGCCACAGGAGCAUCAAAAGAUCUUUGAAUUGGGCUGAAGAAAACAUAGAACAUAGUGUAAAAUCUUAUAGUGUAAUCUUAUAGUGUAAAAUUUAGAGUCUAUUGUCACCCAUACAUAUAAGUGCCUUGUGAAUGUUUAUGGAACCAGGGAAGAAGACAUUGUUCUGUAUGGCGAGUCUGUUGGUAGCGAACCAACCCUUGAUCUAGCUGUUCGUUUCAAUCGUGAAGAGAUGUGGUAUUAAUCAUAGAUAAGGGGUGUUUAGUUCCAGAGACUAAUGUUUAGUACGUGUCACAUAGAAUAUUUGAAUCUCAUUUUACUAUGGGUUUUGUAUAUCAUAGUGACAUUUGUCGUUAUGUAUUGAUGUUUUAUA